UCUGUCGUGAAAUCCUCAGGCUCAACCUGAGGCUUGCGGUGGGUACGGGCAGACUAGAGUGCGGUAGGGGAGAUUGGAAUUCCUGGUGUAGCGGUGGAAUGCGCAGAUAUCAGGAGGAACACCGAUGGCGAAGGCAGAUCUCUGGGCCGUAACUGACGCUGAGGAGCGAAAGGGUGGGGAGCAAACA
This 187-nucleotide ribosomal RNA is filed under the name uncultured bacterium. Its description in RNAcentral is "partial 16S ribosomal RNA". It matches the Rfam family "Bacterial small subunit ribosomal RNA", at positions 588 to 774 of the family's 1533-position model. The record is from RNAcentral.